UGAGGAAUAUUGGACAAUGGGCGGAAGCCUGAUCCAGCCAUGCCGCGUGCAGGAAGACGGCCCUACGGGUUGUAAACUGCUUUUUUACGGGAAGAAACCCCCCUACGUGUAGGGGGCUGACGGUACCGUGGGAAUAAGCACCGGCUAACUCCGUGCCAGCAGCCGCGGUAAUACGGAGGGUGCAAGCGUUAUCCGGAAUCAUUGGGUUUAAAGGGUCCGUAGGCGGGCCGUUAAGUCAGGGGUGAAAGUCUGCGGCUCAACCGUAGAAUUGCCCUUGAUACUGGCGGUCUUGAAUUAGUGUGAAGCGGCUGGAAUGAGCAGUGUAGCGGUGAAAUGCAUAGAUAUUGCUCAGAACACCAAUUGCGAAGGCAGGUCGCUAACACUAUAUUGACGCUGAGGGACGAAAGCGUGGGGAGCGAACAGG
This 424-nucleotide ribosomal RNA is filed under the name uncultured bacterium. RNAcentral describes it as "bacterial SSU rRNA". It matches the Rfam family "Bacterial small subunit ribosomal RNA", at positions 355 to 776 of the family's 1533-position model. The record is from RNAcentral.